CAUUAUGCUGUUCAGAGUUUCACAAGAGACCAAUCCCUGCAGCGAAACUUGUCUCUUACGAAGAAACCAGAUUCGACUGUACGCUUCCCGGAGUCAUUUUAACCACAAAAAAGGGUUAUCGUAUAUGUGCGGAUCCUGAGGAGGACUGGGUGAAGCAGAUCACUGCUAAUAAAAACUUGGCCAAGACUCUGGCGACAAAUUAAAACAUCUCUCCAUGUAUUAGCUUUACUUUGCAGAAUGCUUCAUUUCACCUACAUAUUACUUAAAGCAAUAUGAUGUCAUAUGUAACAGGACAAAACUUUUAGUUAAACAUACGCCCGUAGCUGCACGCAGCCAUUUAUUUUAUCUUCUGCACAAAUAAAGGAGACAUUUAUUACUCA
This is a long non-coding RNA of Ictalurus punctatus (channel catfish), 380 nucleotides long. RefSeq lists it as uncharacterized. NCBI's taxonomy places the organism in Eukaryota, Metazoa, Chordata, Actinopteri, Siluriformes, Ictaluridae. The record is from RefSeq and is a predicted model, not a curated record. The transcript has 2 exons.